RNAcentral lists this ribosomal RNA (1327 nucleotides) under uncultured bacterium. Its description in RNAcentral is "bacterial SSU rRNA". It matches the Rfam family "Bacterial small subunit ribosomal RNA", at positions 85 to 1399 of the family's 1533-position model. The record is from RNAcentral.
AUUUGAGUGAGUGGCGGACGGGUGAGUAACACGUGGGUAACCUGCCCUAAAGUGGGGGAUAACAUUUGGAAACAGAUGCUAAUACCGCAUAAAACCUAACACCGCAUGGUGUAGGGUUGAAAGAUGGUUUCGGCUAUCACUUUAGGAUGGACCCGCGGUGCAUUAGUUAGUUGGUGAGGUAAAGGCUCACCAAGACCGUGAUGCAUAGCCGACCUGAGAGGGUAAUCGGCCACACUGGGACUGAGACACGGCCCAGACUCCUACGGGAGGCAGCAGUAGGGAAUCUUCCACAAUGGACGAAAGUCUGAUGGAGCAACGCCGCGUGAGUGAAGAAGGUUUUCGGAUCGUAAAACUCUGUUGUUGGAGAAGAAUGUAUCUGAUAGUAACUGAUCAGGUAGUGACGGUAUCCAACCAGAAAGCCACGGCUAACUACGUGCCAGCAGCCGCGGUAAUACGUAGGUGGCAAGCGUUGUCCGGAUUUAUUGGGCGUAAAGCGAGCGCAGGCGGUUUCUUAAGUCUGAUGUGAAAGCCUUCGGCUCAACCGAAGAAGUGCAUCGGAAACUGGGAAACUUGAGUGCAGAAGAGGACAGUGGAACUCCAUGUGUAGCGGUGAAAUGCGUAGAUAUAUGGAAGAACACCAGUGGCGAAGGCGGCUGUCUGGUCUGUAACUGACGCUGAGGCUCGAAAGCAUGGGUAGCAAACAGGAUUAGAUACCCUGGUAGUCCAUGCCGUAAACGAUGAGUGCUAGGUGUUGGAGGGUUUCCGCCCUUCAGUGCCGCAGCUAACGCAUUAAGCACUCCGCCUGGGGAGUACGACCGCAAGGUUGAAACUCAAAGGAAGUGACGGGGGCCCGCACAAGCGGUGGAGCAUGUGGUUUAAUUCGAAGCAACGCGAAGAACCUUACCAGGUCUUGACAUCCUUUGACCACUCUAGAGAUAGAGCUUUCCCUUCGGGGACAAAGUGACAGGUGGUGCAUGGUUGUCGUCAGCUCGUGUCGUGAGAUGUUGGGUUAAGUCCCGCAACGAGCGCAACCCUUAUUACUAGUUGCCAGCAUUUAGUUGGGCACUCUAGUGAGACUGCCGGUGACAAACCGGAGGAAGGUGGGGACGACGUCAAAUCAUCAUGCCCCUUAUGACCUGGGCUACACACGUGCUACAAUGGAUGGUACAACGAGUUGCGAGACCGCGAGGUUUAGCUAAUCUCUUAAAACCAUUCUCAGUUCGGAUUGUAGGCUGCAACUCGCCUACAUGAAGCCGGAAUCGCUAGUAAUCGCGGAUCAGCAUGCCGCGGUGAAUACGUUCCCGGGCCUUGCACUCACCGCCCGUCA